UCUUUCGCCCAAAAACAAGAUGGAAUUGUUCCUUGUUGUGUUGACAGUUGACAUUAUUUAGUAACCUUGACUGUUGACUGUGAUCAGCUGUGUUGCGUGGUGUGAUUUCUGUGUUGUGAAACAAAAUGUGGGCUGAUACGUUGUUGAUUCUUUUCAUAUCGGUAUGCACAGCGUUGUUGGGAGAAGGUCUUACAUGGCUGAUGGUAUACAGAACAGAAAAAUAUCAGAAACUAAAAGCUGAAGUAGAGAGACAGAGUAAAAGAUUGGAGAAACGCAAAGAGGCACAUGGUGACUCUUUUGAUAAACAACACAAGAAGAAAAUAGAAAGAGAAGAAGAGAAACUGAAGAACAAUAAUAGAGAUCUGUCUUUAGUGAAAAUGAAAUCAGUUUUUGCAAUUGGUUUUGCCUUCACUGCUCUUUUGAGCAUGUUUAAUAGUAUCUUUGAUGGAAGAGUUGUUGCAAGAUUACCUUUUGUUCCAAUUUCUUGGAUCCAAGGACUGUCUCACAGGAAUCUGCCUGGAGAUGAUUACACAGAAUGUUCCUUUAUCUUCUUGUACAUUCUUUGUACAAUGUCUAUUAGACAGAGAUGGCCCCUGUGGACUUUAUUUCCAACGUUGACAACCCCAUUGAAAUGGUGAAGAUAUGCAAUGAUAGUGCAGACAGGGCUUCACGCAAUCUGGCAAGAGGCAUACUAAGACUGCUUCUGGAAAUGGAAACGGCACUGAGAGCAAUGUAUCAAUUGUGGAGGAGAGUAUUUCGAAGGAGACUAUGCACUAUAAGUAAAAGAACAUCCAGAAGCUGCUUGGGUUUGCACCUUCUAGAACAGCAAGCAAGCAAAGUGGUGGCCUCUUUGGACCACCACCUCAACAGUUCAAAUAGUUUUCUGGACUUAUGCAUUUUUAAAUUUGUUUUUUGGAGUAAGUAAAUGUGGACACUUUAAGCAGGAGGCUACUGGAUGGUUGUUGGACAAAUAGGGACCCCCCCCUCCUCUCUCUCUCUCUCUCUCUCUCUCUCUCUCUCUCUCUCUCUGUGUGUGUGUGUGUGUGUGUGUGUGUGUGUGUGUGUGUGUGUGCGUGUGUGUGUGUGUGUAGAGAGAGAGAGAGAGAGAGAGAAAUAUAGUCUUUUAUUUAUUUAUUCAGUUUUUGAUUUAAGAGUGUGACUAAAAAUUCAAUAACUGACGUUUGAGAUUUUUUUAUGCACUGAAGAAAUAAUUAAUUGAGGAAGAGGGUGGUGUAGGAGCUGAAUGUAAUUAUUUCCUAGAAGUACAAUAAAAAUAAUAAUUAUUGAACACAUUUA
RNA transcript from Schistocerca nitens (vagrant locust), 1296 nucleotides. It is a transcript of the gene named calcium load-activated calcium channel, with no coding region annotated. The record is from RefSeq and is a predicted model, not a curated record. NCBI's taxonomy places the organism in Eukaryota, Metazoa, Arthropoda, Insecta, Orthoptera, Acrididae. The transcript is spliced from 6 exons.